GUUAUUUUAGUUUAGACAAAACCACACAUUUUCAAUGUGUAAACGGGACAAACCCCUUAUAAUU
This 64-nucleotide transfer RNA is filed under the name Cryptopygus antarcticus. RNAcentral's name for it is "tRNA-Glu". The record is from RNAcentral. Lineage: Eukaryota; Metazoa; Arthropoda; Collembola; Entomobryomorpha; Isotomidae.